AAUCGCCCAAAGAGAAUACUGCCUCUGAGGCAUACUCCUCGCAUGAAUAACAAUAUUAUGAAAUUCGUUCGACGAAACAAGAACGCUAUGGAAUUACAAAAACGUGGACAACUGGUUAACCGUUGGCUGGCUCAAAGAACUAUCGUUAACAUCGUUAAGACGAAAUCCCUAUUGUCUCUGUACGUUGCAAGAGUCACGAAGAAAGACUAUUAAUCGCGGUUUUUCUACCGCAAAGCAAGAAUAUCUGAAGAGCGAGACGAAU
This 262-nucleotide unclassified non-coding RNA is filed under the name Bombus terrestris (buff-tailed bumblebee). RNAcentral's name for it is "misc RNA ENSBTSG00005032670.1". Lineage: Eukaryota; Metazoa; Arthropoda; Insecta; Hymenoptera; Apidae. The record is from RNAcentral.